GAUGAACGCUGGCGGCGUGCCUAAUACAUGCAAGUCGAACGAACGGACGAUGAGCUUUCUCCCCUGACGUUAGCGGCGGACGGGUGAGUAACACGUGGAUAACCUACCAAUAAUACUGGGAGAAUUUCGGAAAACCGCAGCUAAUACCGCAGAAUAUAUCAAACUGCAUGGUUCAAUAGUGAAAGACGGUUUUGCUGUUACUAAUAGCUGAAUCCGCGCCGCCUUAGUGAGUCGGGAAGGUAACUGCUUACCAAGGCAACGAUGCGUAGCCGACCUGAGAGGAUGAUCAGCCACACUGGAACUGAGACACGGUCCAGACUCCUACGGGAGGCAGCAGUAGGGAAUCUUCCGCAAUGGGCGAAAGCUUGACGGAGCAAAGCCGCGUGAGUGAUGAAGGUCUUCGGAUCGUAAAACUCUGUUAUUGGGGAAGAAGAAAAGUGUAAGUAACCACGCACGUAUUGACGGUACCUAAGCAGAAAGCCACGGCUAACUACGUG
RNAcentral lists this ribosomal RNA (497 nucleotides) under uncultured bacterium. RNAcentral's name for it is "partial 16S ribosomal RNA". It matches the Rfam family "Bacterial small subunit ribosomal RNA", at positions 28 to 507 of the family's 1533-position model. The record is from RNAcentral.